CCAAAUAUUAAGCCCGGCUGCUCUUGCCGCCGUCGCGGUGAUCGGUGGUGCCGCGUUUCCGCCUCAAUGGAUUAACGGUCUUAUGCUAGAAGUAACUCACGUUAAACCCCGAAACUUAACUCCGAAACUGACGGUAAUACUAUCUGUCUUGAAUACCGUGGAGGUGAGCGGAAUAUGUCAUGUAGCGGUGAAAUGCUUAGAUAUGACAUAGAACACCAAUUGCGAAGGCAGCUCGCUACACGGUCAUUGACGCUGAGGCACGAAAGCGUGGGGAUCAAACAGGAUUAGAUACCCUGGUAGUCCACGCCCUAAACGAUGAUUACUCGACAUCAGCGAUACACUGUUGGUGUCUAAGCUAACGCAUUAAGUAAUCCACCUGUGAAGUACGAUCGCAAGAUUGAAACUCAAAGGAAUUGGCGGGGGUCCGCACAAGCGGUGGAGCAUGUGGUUUAAUUC
RNAcentral lists this ribosomal RNA (456 nucleotides) under uncultured bacterium. Its description in RNAcentral is "bacterial SSU rRNA". It matches the Rfam family "Bacterial small subunit ribosomal RNA", at positions 479 to 952 of the family's 1533-position model. The record is from RNAcentral.